RNAcentral lists this ribosomal RNA (460 nucleotides) under uncultured bacterium. Its description in RNAcentral is "partial 16S ribosomal RNA". It matches the Rfam family "Bacterial small subunit ribosomal RNA", at positions 338 to 795 of the family's 1533-position model. The record is from RNAcentral.
CCUACGGGAGGCAGCAGUGAGGAAUAUUGGUCAAUGGGCUUACGCCUGAACCAGCCAAGUCGCGUGAGGGAAGACUGCCCUAUGGGUUGUAAACCUCUUUUGUCAGGGAGCAAUUGGCGCUACGUGUAGCGUUAUCGAGAGUACCUGAAGAAAAAGCAUCGGCUAACUCCGUGCCAGCAGCCGCGGUAAUACGGAGGAUGCGAGCGUUAUCCGGAUUUAUUGGGUUUAAAGGGUGCGUAGGCGGAAUGCCAAGUCAGCGGUAAAAUCGCGGGGCUCAACCUCGCUCCGCCGUUGAAACUGGCGUGCUUGAGUGGGCGAGAAGUAUGCGGAAUGCGUGGUGUAGCGGUGAAAUGCAUAGAUAUCACGCAGAACUUCGAUUGCGAAGGCAGCAUACCGGCGCCCAACUGACGCUGAAGCACGAAAGCGUGGGUAUCGAACAGGAUUAGAUACCCUUGUAGUC